CCCUUAGAUGUUCUGGGCCGCACGCGCGCUACAAUGAUGCAGGCAACGAGUGCUGCUCCUUGGCCGAAAGGCUUGGGGAACCUUGAAAACUGCAUCGUGCUAGGGAUAGAUGAUUGCAAUCGUGCAUCUUGAACGAGGAAUGCCUUGUAAGCGUGAGUCAUCAACUCGCGCUGAAUACGUCCCUGCCCUUUGUACACACCGCCCGUCGCUCCUACCGAUUGGAUGGUCCGGUGAACUGGUCGGACUGAUAAUUGUCACUGUGGGUGCAGUAGCAUUACGGAAAGUCCGGUGAACCUUAUCAUCUAGAGGAAGGAGAAGUCGUAACA
RNAcentral lists this ribosomal RNA (326 nucleotides) under uncultured eukaryote. RNAcentral describes it as "partial 18S ribosomal RNA". It matches the Rfam family "Eukaryotic small subunit ribosomal RNA", at positions 1470 to 1796 of the family's 1831-position model. The record is from RNAcentral.